This 433-nucleotide ribosomal RNA is filed under the name uncultured bacterium. Its description in RNAcentral is "bacterial SSU rRNA". It matches the Rfam family "Bacterial small subunit ribosomal RNA", at positions 29 to 507 of the family's 1533-position model. The record is from RNAcentral.
AACGAACGCUGGCGGCAGGCCUAAAACAUGCAAGUCGAACGAACCUUCGGGUUAGUGGCGCACGGGUGAGUAACGCGUGGGAAUGUGCCUCUCGGGUGCGGAACAAACGUCGGGAAACUGACGCUAAUACCGCAUAAUGUCUACGGACCAAAGAUUUAUCGCCCAGAGAUCAGCCCGCGUCUGAUUAGCUAGUUGGUGAGGUAACGGCUCACCAAGGCUACGAUCAGUAGCUGGUCUGAGAGGAUGAUCAGCCACACUGGAACUGAGACACGGUCCAGACUCCUACGGGAGGCAGCAGUUAGGAAUAUUGGACAAUGGGGGAAACCCUGAUCCAGCCAUGCCGCGUGUGUGAAGAAGGCCUUAGGGUUGUAAAGCACUUUCGGCUGUGAAGAUAAUGACAGUAGCAGAAGAAGAAGCUCCGGCUAAAUUCGUG